CUCCAAGACACAUUCAGAUGCUUUUUUGAGGCCACUCUACGAAUGUUAUGCGGCCGUAUGCGUCCCAGAUCAUGGUGUGAGACACGUCGGACACCUCGUUCGCCCCUGUACGUCACGCUGACCACUUGCGCUCGAAUCACCCAGAACACACGUUAAUCCCAGGUGUAAUUUGAUGUUUUGUAGGCUCUGGAUGUGGACCUUGUUGCUGAUCCUGAAUUCCCUGCUGUGAUUGAUAACGUUAUUGACUUUGUGAGUGAGACCGAACAGGCCUCGGAUAUCACAUCAGACAUGAUUCAAGUCAGUAUGGCGGAGACUGAACAUCUUACUGCUGACACGGCAUCUUC
Ictalurus punctatus (channel catfish) is the source of this 344-nucleotide long non-coding RNA. RefSeq lists it as uncharacterized. The transcript has 3 exons. Lineage: Eukaryota; Metazoa; Chordata; Actinopteri; Siluriformes; Ictaluridae. The record is from RefSeq and is a predicted model, not a curated record.